This is a long non-coding RNA of Orcinus orca (killer whale), 2999 nucleotides long. RefSeq lists it as uncharacterized. NCBI's taxonomy places the organism in Eukaryota, Metazoa, Chordata, Mammalia, Artiodactyla, Delphinidae. The transcript is spliced from 2 exons. The record is from RefSeq and is a predicted model, not a curated record.
AGGGGGGCUUCAACCUAAGACACCAGGUGGAGAGACCCACAGAUGGGACUGAACGCUGGCGGUGGGGUCUGGGGACUGGCAGAGUCAGGGAUCAAUCUGGCGCAGGGGGAAUGCCUGCAAUCUUCCCGAAGUUCCUUCCAACAGUUGCUCUCUCCACCCCCCACUCAGCUUGCCAUCUGAGCUGGCAUUCUCGGAGGACCCAGCUUUAAACUGGAGCAAAAGGUCAGCUCUCCACUUGGCCUUUCCGGAGGCCACAGCCCAGCGUUAGGGGUGAGAAGGUUGCAGCGGGCUCACGCACCUCGAAGCUCCCUGCAGUCUCCCUCCUGUCCUCCUCCCUCCCCGCCCCCGCCGGUUUGUGGCAGAGAUGGGGGGGGGGGGAACUGCCCUGGCAUCCUGCAGCCAGCUGGCUCGGCCUUCGAGGAGGCCAGGCUUGAACCUCGCGUCACCCCACUGCAACGUGUGGGCCAAGCUCUCAGGCAGGAGAAAGGCCUUUUUUGGUAACGCUCAAGCCCGCAGUAAUCAGGACCCGGUUCUUCGGCCCGCUAGAGACGCCUCGAAGUAGAUGAAAACAAACGUGUGGGCUGGGCCCUCCUCUGGCCUCUGCCAGGGCCCCCAUCCCCACGCCAGGAACCCCCCGGGCGCUGUGGGCGUGGAGGAAUCAAGUCAGCACUGUGAUUUACACAUUUACUCCCAGGCCGCUUCCGUGGCGGAAGUAUUUGCCUUUUCCUAAAGGAUUAAUUCUGGUAUUAAAAAAAAAAGGAUUAAUUUAGGCCAGGGCAUACGGUUACGCAAGAGCCACUAGACCGUGAAAUCCCAGGAACAACGUGAUUCGCUAAGAACCCCCGGGGAGGGGAGGCUGCGCCGCCCGCCAGGACCUGCCCAGCCUGGGGUGCGCGGGCAGCCGGGCGCUCCGUGCAAAAUUGGGUGGAAGGGAAAGGAGGACGUAGCGGUUGGUGCUGGCACAGCGGCCGCUGCGAGCGAUCAGAUCUCCGACUGCUUUCUUCCUGAAGGGGCGGGGAGCAGGGAAGAGAAGAAAGGCGGGGGGAGUCGCGUCUGGUUCCUGCUUUCGCCGCUUCCUCUCCUAGCCAGCGUGCCAGGGCACGGGGGAGCCCAGCGCUGUCCUCAGCAAAAGCCGGUGUGUUUUUUCAAGUUCAAAAGUAAAGGAACCCUGGAAUGAGUCUCCCAGGGACCAGGCCUAGCGGGAAAAAAGGGGAAGCGCCAGACAGGGGUGCUAUUCACCGACCUGUUUGGGUUGAAACAAACACCCACACCCCAAGAAGUGGGGUAGUCGGGAAGGACUUGGAGGGCGAGGGUAGGCGGAGAGGCUGGCGGGUGGCCGUCAAGGCCACAGGUGCUCACACCCUCAGACCCUCCCGCCCCACCCCGCGUGCGUCUGGGCCUCAGCAGAGAGCCAGAGUACCAGCGGGUUCCUACCGGCCCCGCACCAGAGCUGGGGAUUUCCACCGCCCGGCUUCGGAGACCCGUCGCCGCCGGCGCUUUCCUGCUGGGGCCGCCAGAAGGCGGGGCCUCGGAGCGGGAAGCCCUCCCUGCUGCCUCACUGUCCCUCGGUCAAGUCAGACCAGAUCGUCAGGGUGAAUCACAUCAGUACUUUGCACUGGACCUGCAGCCUGCAAGCCAGGGACGGGCACACAAAACAUCCCUGAGGCUGGGAGGUAUCCUUCUGAAGGAGGCAAGAGAUAGAUAUUUGCUCUUGCCAGGUUCUUCUCCACCAGGAUUUUUUCUCAAAUUCAUUGCAAGAUGGAUUUAAAAAAACAGUCUUGAUAAAGAAAAACCAGGGGGGCUUCCCUGGUGGCACAGUGGUUGGGAGUCUGCCUGCCAAUGCAGGGGACACGGGUUCGAGCCCUGGUCUGGGAGGAUCCCACAUGCCGCGGAGCAACUGAGCCUUUGCGCCACAACUGCUGAGCCCGCAUGCCUAGAGCCCGUGCUCCGUAACGGGAGAGGCCACCACAAUGAGAGGCCUGUGCACUGCAACGAAGAGUAGCCUUCGCUCGCCGCAAGUACAGAAAGCCCGUGAGCAGCAACGAAGAUCCAACGCAGCCCACCCCCCUCAAAAAACCCCCCCCCAAAAAAAAAACAGGGAUAGAAAAUGCCCCAUAAAACAUGGCCCCCAAAGGGAAGGUGCAAAACCCAUUUGAUCCAAGAUAUAGAUAUCUCCACCCUGGAUUUGUUUUUCCUUUGCUUUACAACUCUGCAGACAUCAGGUUAGCAAAAGGUAAUAAAUAGUCCUUGCACAGCAAGGUCUGGACUAGUGAAAACAGUUUACUGAAAUUAAUGGGCCUCGUUUGAACCAAAACCUCCACUUUGGAAUUAAUGCCAGACAUAGUUUUCCUGAACUCUUUCCAACCGCCUAAGCAGCAGACAAUUUUCAUUCUAUUUGUGCUGGAAAAUAAAGCCCGGGCCCUUGAUCUUAGUGUAGAUUAUGAUUUUUAAAAAAAUAUUUAGCACAGUGAACGCUAUGCCAAUUUCCAGUUUCUGCUGGUAGAAGCCCUUGUGCUCUGGGCUGUGCUUGACAGAAGUUAUCUGGUAAACUUUCCAUUGAAAACCAUCUCCGAGCUCUCUCCCCAUCGGUGGCCUCAGAGCUCUCACCACGACACCCGAGAGAUUCAAGGAAAGCUCCAGAAACAGACUCGGUUCUCAAUAACAACCCUUUUCCCCAGGGCUCUUGGAAAGGCUGGAUCUGAACAACACUGCCUUCAUGACCUCAAUUCCCCACCCAAAAGGAAGCUCCAAAGCACCCAACCGAACCCCCCACCCCCCGCCGCCCGGGCCCCGGAACUCAGGGUGUCUACAGUUCUGAAGCUGCUUUUAUUUUUAUUAAUGUAUUUUUAAGGCUGAAAGGCACACACGCACACACCCCACAUAGGUUCACACCCAGUGGUUCUGGCAGGUACAGCGGAGACCCGGUGCCCCGGCUGUCAGUGUCUGAUCCCAGCCGGCCCUCCCUCCCCCAAUUAUUAAUAAAAGCCCUGUCAUGGGUA